Molecule: small nuclear RNA, 102 nt
Organism: Equus asinus (donkey)
Lineage: Eukaryota; Metazoa; Chordata; Mammalia; Perissodactyla; Equidae
Source: Ensembl
UUGCUUUGACGGCAUAGAUACUAAAAUUGGACGAUACAUUGAAGAUUAGCUAGGCCCCUGCAGAAGGAUGACACACAAAUUUGUGAAGUGUUCCAUAUUUUU